GGAUCAUUGUUGAAACCCUGCACAGCAGAACGACCCGCGAACUUGUAAAAUAUAACUUGGGGGCGAGGGGCCCUAGUGGCCUCGGACCUCCUUUGGCUUGGGGGGUGCCAACUCGGGCAUCGCCRGUCGGUGCCCGUUGCUGUUGCCUUCCCUGCCGCACAAACGAACCCCGGCGCAAUCCGCGCCAAGGAAUUUUCAACGAAUCAGCAAGCCCCGGCGCCCCAGAGAUGGUGCGCGUUUGGGGCUUUGCGUGGUAUUCUAUAUGUCAAAACGACUCUCGGCAACGGAUAUCUCGGCUCUCGCAUCGAUGAAGAACGUAGCGAAAUGCGAUACUUGGUGUGAAUUGCAGAAUCCCGUGAACCAUCGAGUCUUUGAACGCAAGUUGCGCCCAAAGCCAUUAGGCCGAGGGCACGUCUGCCUGGGCGUCACACAACGUUGCCCCCCCAACCCCAAUCCUCAACUUUUGAGGAGGACGGCGGGGGGCGGAUGCUGGCCUCCCGUGCGCCACGGUUCGCGGUUGGCCCAAAUACGAGUACUCGGCGACGAGCGCCGCGGCAAUCGGUGGUUGUCCAACCCUCGGUGCCAUGCUGCGCGCGCGAGUCGCUCUU
Molecule: unclassified non-coding RNA, 608 nt
Filed under: Sageretia subcaudata
Lineage: Eukaryota; Viridiplantae; Streptophyta; Magnoliopsida; Rosales; Rhamnaceae
Description: partial contains internal transcribed spacer 1, 5.8S ribosomal RNA, and internal transcribed spacer 2
Source: RNAcentral